This 458-nucleotide ribosomal RNA is filed under the name Cifuna locuples. Its description in RNAcentral is "partial large subunit ribosomal RNA". The record is from RNAcentral. Lineage: Eukaryota; Metazoa; Arthropoda; Insecta; Lepidoptera; Erebidae.
UGCCCACUGAUAAUUUAUUAAAGGGCUGCAGUAAUUUGACUGUACAAAGGUAGCAUAAUCAUUAGUCAUUUAAUUGAUGACUUGUAUGAAAGAUUGGAUGAAAUAUAUACUGUCUUUAAUAUAUUUUAUAGAAAUUAAUUUUUUAAUAAAAAAGUUAAAAUGAAUAAAAAAGACGAGAAGACCCUAUAGAGUUUUAUUUUUCAAUAAAUAAAAAUUAUUUUUAAAUUUAAAAUUUAUAUUUAUUUAAAAAUUUUGUUGGGGUGAUAGAAAAAUUAAAUAAACUUUUUAAUGAGUGAAACAUAAAUAAGUGAUUUAUUGAUCCAUUUUUAGUGAUUAAAAGAAAAAAUUACCUUAGGGAUAACAGCGUAAUUUUUUUUUUUAGUUCGAAUAAAAAAAAGAGUUUGCGACCUCGAUGUUGGAUUAAGAUAAAAUUUAAAUGUAGAAGUUUAAAGUUUUGA